Molecule: unclassified non-coding RNA, 253 nt
Filed under: uncultured Myxococcales bacterium
Lineage: Bacteria; Pseudomonadati; Myxococcota; Myxococcia; Myxococcales
Description: contains 16S-23S intergenic spacer region
Rfam family: Bacterial small subunit ribosomal RNA
Source: RNAcentral
GACAGAGGGUGCAAGCGUUGUUCGGAAUUAUUGGGCGUAAAGCGCGCGUAGGCGGUCUGGUAAGUCGGGUGUGAAAGCCCAGGGCUCAACCCUGGAAGUGCACUCGAAACUGCCUGACUAGAGUCCCGGAGAGGGUGGUGGAAUUCCUGGUGUAGAGGUGAAAUUCGUAGAUAUCAGGAGGAACAUCCGUGGCGAAGGCGACCACCUGGACGGUGACUGACGCUGAGGUGCGAAAGCGUGGGGAGCAAACAGG